Molecule: unclassified non-coding RNA, 378 nt
Filed under: Cunninghamella bertholletiae
Lineage: Eukaryota; Fungi; Mucoromycota; Mucoromycetes; Mucorales; Cunninghamellaceae
Description: sequence contains 18S rRNA gene, ITS1, 5.8S rRNA gene, ITS2, 28S rRNA gene
Rfam family: 5.8S ribosomal RNA (bases 314-378)
Source: RNAcentral
GAUCAUUACAUAUUGGUCAAAAGAAUAGUUUGAAAAAGGCUAUUUUUUUUUGACUUAAAAAACUUAUCCACAGUGUGGGAAAUGUCUUCUAACGCUUGUGCCUGGUUCAGUCUAGUGCUGCCACUUGAGUUUAUCCUUAGAUCAAGGGAUCUUUGGGUAGUUGUUCAUUAUUUUCUCUCUCUUUUUAGGGGGGGAGAUUAAUGAUGGGCACCUCUUGUAAAGGGGAUAAGAUUACUUUUAUUAUACUAAAUUUUACUGAACUGAUAGACCAUAAAUCUAUGGUUGUUUUUUAUUAUAAUUAAAAAAAAAAAACAACUUUCAGCAAUGGAUCUCUCGGCUUUCGUAUCGAUGAAGAACGCAGCAAAUCGCGAUAUGUAA